RNAcentral lists this ribosomal RNA (587 nucleotides) under uncultured marine eukaryote. RNAcentral describes it as "SSU rRNA". It matches the Rfam family "Eukaryotic small subunit ribosomal RNA", at positions 617 to 1203 of the family's 1831-position model. The record is from RNAcentral.
GGUUAAAAAGCUCGUAGUUGGAUCUCGGCGGGCAGGGGGUGGUUCGCUCUUCAGCGCUACUGCCCCGCUUUGCCCGUGUGGUUGGCGGAGGUUUCGGGGUGCUCUUCGUUGAGUGACUCGGAGCGCCGUCAGGUUUACUUUGAAAAAAUUAGAGUGCUCAAAGCAGGCUUUUCACGCUUGAAUAUUCGUGCAUGGAAUAAUGGAAUAGGAACUCGUUUCUAUUUUGUUGGUUUUCGGAAAUCGAGUUAAUGAUUAACAGGGACAAUUGGGGGCAUUAGUAUUCAGACGACAGAGGUGAAAUUCUUGGACCGUCUGAAGACUGACUACUGCGAAAGCAUCUGCCAAGAGUGUUUUCAUUAAUCAAGAACGAAAGUUAGAGGUUCGAAGGCGAUCAGAUACCGCCCUAGUUCUAACCAUAAACGAUGCCAGCUAGCGAUCUGCCGAGUUUUUUUUGUAGGCUCCGCAGGAAGCUUUCGGGAAACCAAAGCUUUUGGGUUCCGGGGGAAGUAUGGUUGCAAAGCUGAAACUUAAAGGAAUUGACGGAAAGGCACCACCAGGAGUGGAGCCUGCGGCUUAAUUUGACUCCA